CUACUGUGUGCAGAUGGUUGCUGAGCACCUACUGUGCACCAGAUGCCGGUGCUGGGGGAUGGCGGUGAGGUAGACAGGCCACCUGCUCCUCUGCCCAGUGAUGGGAGACAGACCCCGAGCCCAGUUCCCCAGCUGUAACCCCGGGGCCAAGCUCAGUCCUGGGCACACGACACAAGGGCUUAAGACACAAGGGAGGCUGUAGAGGAGACGUGCGUUGGCACGCAGCCCCGAUGGCAAGAAGCUGGUGCCCAGCUGGAGAGGGGCUGUGGGCUGGAUUGUGUACCCCUGCCCCCACCCCCGGCUUAUAUGUUGAAGGACUGAAGAUGAUUGAAGACCCGUCCAGGAAGGCCACGUGACGGCCCAGCCAGUGGGCAGCCGUCUGCCAGGCAGCAAGAGGGCCCUCGCCGGAACCCAGCCACACCUGCACCCCGGUCCAGACUCCCAGCUUCCGGACCUGCGA
Long non-coding RNA from Suricata suricatta (meerkat), 460 nucleotides. RefSeq lists it as uncharacterized. The record is from RefSeq and is a predicted model, not a curated record. Lineage: Eukaryota; Metazoa; Chordata; Mammalia; Carnivora; Herpestidae. The transcript has 3 exons.